This 515-nucleotide ribosomal RNA is filed under the name uncultured Cytophagaceae bacterium. Its description in RNAcentral is "bacterial SSU rRNA". It matches the Rfam family "Bacterial small subunit ribosomal RNA", at positions 9 to 522 of the family's 1533-position model. The record is from RNAcentral. Lineage: Bacteria; Pseudomonadati; Bacteroidota; Cytophagia; Cytophagales; Cytophagaceae.
GAGUUUGACAUGGCUCAGGAUGAACGCUAGCGGCAGGCCUAAUACAUGCAAGUCGAACGGUAAAUAUUGUAGCAAUACGAUAUGAGAGUGACGUACGGGUGCGUAACACGUAUGCAACCUACCCAUAACUGGAGGAUAGCUCCCCGAAAGGGGAAUUAACCCUCCAUAGUAAGAUUGGAUGGCAUCAUUUGAUCUUUAAAACUCCGGUGGUUAUGGAUGGGCAUGCGUCUGAUUAGCUAGUUGGCGGUGUAACGGACCACCAAGGCGAUGAUCAGUAGGGGAACUGAGAGGUUGAUCCCCCACACUGGCACUGAGAUACGGGCCAGACUCCUACGGGAGGCAGCAGUAGGGAAUAUUGGUCAAUGGAUGCAAGUCUGAACCAGCCAUGCCGCGUGCAGGAAGAAGGCCCUAUGGGUUGUAAACUGCUUUUGCCAGGGGAUAAAACGACCUUGCGAGGUUAAUUGAAGGUACCUGGUGAAUAAGCCACGGCUAACUACGUGCCAGCAGCCGCGGUA